GGAUUAGAUACCCUGGUAGUCCACGCCCUAAACGAUGUCAACUGGUUGUUGGGAGGGUUUCUUCUCAGUAACGUAGCUAACGCGUGAAGUUGACCGCCUGGGGAGUACGGCCGCAAGGUUGAAACUCGAAGGAAUUGACGGGGACCCGCACAAGCGGUGGAUGAUGUGGUUUAAUUCGAUGCAACGCGAAAAACCUUACCUGCCCUUGACAUGCCAGGAAUCUUGCAGAGAUGUGAGAGUGCUCGAAAGAGAACCUGGACACAGGUGCUGCAUGGCCGUCGUCAGCUCGUGUCGUGAGAUGUUGGGUUAAGUCCCGCAACGAGCGCAACCCUUGUCAUUAGUUGCUACGAAAGGGCACUCUAAUGAGACUGCCGGUGACAAACCGGAGGAAGGUGGGGAUGACGUCAGGUCAUCAUGGCCCUUAUGGGUAGGGCUACACACGUCAUACAAUGGCCGGGACAGAGGGCUGCCAACCCGCGAGGGGGAGCUAAUCCCAGAAACCCGGUCGUAGUCCGGAUCGCAGUCUGCAGCUCGACUGCGUGAAGUCGGAAUCGCUAGUAAUCGCGGAUCAGCUUGCCGCGGUGAAUACGUUCCCGGGUCUUGUACACACCGCCCGUCACACCAUGGGAGCGGGUUCUGCCAGAAGUAGUUAGCCUAACCGCAAGGAGGGCGAUUACCACGGCAGGGUUCGUGACUGGGGUG
Molecule: ribosomal RNA, 702 nt
Filed under: uncultured bacterium
Lineage: Bacteria
Description: bacterial SSU rRNA
Rfam family: Bacterial small subunit ribosomal RNA
Source: RNAcentral